This 207-nucleotide ribosomal RNA is filed under the name uncultured bacterium. RNAcentral describes it as "partial 16S ribosomal RNA". It matches the Rfam family "Bacterial small subunit ribosomal RNA", at positions 568 to 774 of the family's 1533-position model. The record is from RNAcentral.
CGCGUAGGCGGACUUUCAAGUCGGAUGUGAAAUCUCCGGGCUCAACUCGGAGCCUGCAUCCGAUACUGUUGGUCUUGAGUAUAUCAGAGGAAAGCGGAAUUCCAGGUGUAGCGGUGAAAUGCGUAGAUACCUGGAAGAACACCAGUAGCGAAGGCGGCUUUCUGGGGUAAUACUGACGCUGAAGCGCGAAGGCUAGGGGAGCAAACA